UUUCCGUAGGUGAACCUGCGGAAGGAUCAUUAUUGAAUAACCUAGGUGCGAGGGCUUUCUCUACCUCGAAAGGUCGUGCACCCCCGAGUGCCCUCACGCAGAGUCAUCUCCCCCAUAUGUGCACCACCGGGUCGAUCCCGCUUUUGCUUGUUCGGAUGCUAGCUUACGUUUUCACACAUACAAUGAAUGCACUGUAGAAUGUAUUUUUUGUUUUUAACAUCACGCAACCAAAACAACUUUCAACAACGUACCUUUUGCCUCUCUCAUCGAUCAAGAACG
This 279-nucleotide unclassified non-coding RNA is filed under the name plant metagenome. RNAcentral's name for it is "partial contains small subunit ribosomal RNA, internal transcribed spacer 1, and 5.8S ribosomal RNA". The record is from RNAcentral.